This 254-nucleotide ribosomal RNA is filed under the name uncultured bacterium. RNAcentral describes it as "partial 16S ribosomal RNA". It matches the Rfam family "Bacterial small subunit ribosomal RNA", at positions 524 to 776 of the family's 1533-position model. The record is from RNAcentral.
UACGGGAGGUGCAAGCGUUGUUCGGAUUUACUGGGCGUAAAGGGCGCGUAGGCGGCCACCGCAAGUCGGUUGUGAAAUCUCCGGGCUUAACCCGGAAAGGUCAAUCGAUACUGCGGGGCUAGAGUGCAGAAGGGGCAACUGGAAUUCUCGGUGUAGCGGUGAAAUGCGUAGAUAUCGAGAGGAACACCUGCGGCGAAGGCGGGUUGCUGGGCUGACACUGACGCUGAAGCGCGAAAGCUAGGGGAGCGAACGGG